GCAUAAUUUUUUGUGGUGCAUUUACUUGAUUGGUGCUUGGGGAUGUUUGAGGCAGAUUUGUUUCCGUCGUUUUGAGGCCAGCUUGCUGGUACCCAAACGGUGUUAGCAUUUUUUGUCUUGGACAUUUGAGUAUGGCUCACGUGUAUUUAUUGGACAGAUCUGAGUGUAAGUUACGGUCGCAUGCGACACGUGCUUUUCAAUUAGUUCGGUCCAGUUAAUGCUCUCGUACUCGUUCCCCAUGUAAAAGCCGGUCAUCUAUCCGACCCGUCUUGAAACACGGACCAAGGAGUUUAUCGUGUGCGCAAGUUUUUGGGUGUUAAAAACUUAAAAGCGAAAUGAAAGUAAAUGACUCUUUAGAGUCUGAUGUGCGAUCUUGUAAAAAAGUGUAGCAUGGCCCCAUUCUAACUGUUUACAGUAGGGUGGCGGAAGAGCGUACGCGGUGAGACCCGAAAGAUGGUGAACUAUUCCUGAGCAGGACGAAGCCAGAGGAAACUCUGGUGGAAGUCCGAAGCGGUUCUGACGUGCAAAUCGAUCGUCUGACUUGGGUAUAGGGGCGAAAGACUAAUCGAACCAUCUAGUAGC
Molecule: ribosomal RNA, 582 nt
Filed under: Meloidogyne sp. Ottosdal
Lineage: Eukaryota; Metazoa; Nematoda; Chromadorea; Rhabditida; Meloidogynidae
Description: eukaryotic LSU rRNA
Rfam family: Eukaryotic large subunit ribosomal RNA
Source: RNAcentral